CCUACGGGUGGCAGCAGUGAGGAAUAUUGGUCAAUGGGCGAGAGCCUGAACCAGCCAAGUCGCGUGAAGGAUGACGGCCCUACGGGUUGUAAACUUCUUUUGUCAGGGAGCAAUUGAGUCCACGUGUGGUCUUAGCGAGAGUACCUGAAGAAAAAGCAUCGGUAAACUCCGUGCCAGCAGCCGCGGUAAUACGGAGGAUGCGAGCGUUAUCCGGAUUUAUUGGGUUUAAAGGGUGCGUGGGCGGAAUAUCAAGUCAGCGGUAAAAAUUCGGGGCUCAACCCCGUCGUGCCGUUGAAACGGAGGUUCUUGGGUGAGCGAGAAGGAAGCGGAAUUCGUGGUGUAGCGGGGAAAUGCAUAGAUAUAACGCAGAACUCCGAUUGCGAAGGCAGCAUACGGGCGCCCAACUGACGCUGAAGCACGAAAGCGUGGGUAUCGAACAGGAUUAGAUACCCUGGUAGUC
Molecule: ribosomal RNA, 460 nt
Filed under: uncultured bacterium
Lineage: Bacteria
Description: partial 16S ribosomal RNA
Rfam family: Bacterial small subunit ribosomal RNA
Source: RNAcentral